Molecule: long non-coding RNA, 703 nt
Filed under: Gossypium barbadense (sea-island cotton)
Lineage: Eukaryota; Viridiplantae; Streptophyta; Magnoliopsida; Malvales; Malvaceae
Description: long non-coding RNA (GBAR_LNC014396)
Source: RNAcentral
AAAUUUUAACAACGAAAAAGAAUUAUUAUUACAAUCUUAUUCGUGAUACCCAAUUUUAGGCCCGGGCCCGCCUAAACAGAAAACAAAACAAAUUUUUUAAAAAAAAUUUCCAUAUUACAGAUCAAAAUGAGGCCCAAAUAAUUAAAACCCACUAAGCCCAAAUUACAAACUAAAACCCAAAUUUAGCCCAUAACAAAAACCAAAAUGGCAGAAACCCUAGGCAGCUUCCCCCCAUGCCGCAGCAACGUUCCAUCGUCCCACGUUGCCUCACCCACGUUCAGCAGCCCCGCACAACGCCUGUUUCCACGUACUUGCAACAAGUCAAACCACGAAUAGCAUUAGAGUAGCAGGUAUAUGGGAAAAGAGGUUUUUUUUGUAAAGAUUCGGCUAUAAAAGCCGAUUAAUAAAUCUGUAAAAGGGGUUAGUAAAAAUUGUCUUCAAAAGAGAUUUAAAGAAAGAAGAAAAUAUCAGAAAAAGCAAAUUUUGAAGGUGAUCAUUUUUUUCCGGUUUUUUUCUUUUUAUUGUUUUCUUGUUUCAUUUUUUUUUGGUUCUUUGCUUUUAAAAAAAUUAAACAAGGAGGAGUAGAAGGGAGACUUACCAGCGGGGCGCCGUCGGAGUACCCUCACGUCGUUGUAGCCGGUUGGAAAUAGGACUGGAACGACAGAGGAAAGGGGAGAACUGCGGCGCAUUUAUGGAGUGGCAG